Molecule: transfer RNA, 61 nt
Filed under: Loxodonta africana (African savanna elephant)
Lineage: Eukaryota; Metazoa; Chordata; Mammalia; Proboscidea; Elephantidae
Rfam family: tRNA
About the family: Transfer RNA (tRNA) molecules are approximately 80 nucleotides in length. Their secondary structure includes four short double-helical elements and three loops (D, anti-codon, and T loops).
Source: Rfam by way of RNAcentral
GUGGUGCAAAUGGUUAACACAUUUGGUUGCUAACCAAAAGGUUGGAGGUUCGAGUCCACUC